Molecule: ribosomal RNA, 306 nt
Filed under: Veillonella parvula
Lineage: Bacteria; Bacillati; Bacillota; Negativicutes; Veillonellales; Veillonellaceae
Description: bacterial SSU rRNA
Rfam family: Bacterial small subunit ribosomal RNA
Source: RNAcentral
GACGAACGCUGGCGGCGUGCUUAACACAUGCAAGUCGAACGAAGAGCGACGGAAGCUUGCUUCUAUCAAUCUUAGUGGCGAACGGGUGAGUAACGCGUAAUCAACCUGCCCUUCAGAGGGGGACAACAGUUGGAAACGACUGCUAAUACCGCAUACGAUCUAAUCUCGGCAUCGAGGAUAGAUGAAAGGUGGCCUCUACAUGUAAGCUAUCACUGAAGGAGGGGAUUGCGUCUGAUUAGCUAGUUGGAGGGGUAACGGCCCACCAAGGCGAUGAUCAGUAGCCGGUCUGAGAGGAUGAACGGCCAC